This 424-nucleotide ribosomal RNA is filed under the name uncultured bacterium. RNAcentral describes it as "partial 16S ribosomal RNA". It matches the Rfam family "Bacterial small subunit ribosomal RNA", at positions 360 to 776 of the family's 1533-position model. The record is from RNAcentral.
AAUUUUGGACAAUGGGGGAAACCCCGAUCCAGCCAUCCCGCGUGUAUGAUGAAGGCCUCCGGGUUGUAAAGUACUCUUGGCUGAGAAGAAAAGGUAUCCCCCAUUACGGGAUACUGCUGACGGUAUCUGCAGAAUAACCACCGGUUAACUACGUGCCAGCAGCCGCGGUAAUACGGAGGGUGCAAGCGUUAAUCGGAAUUACUGGGCUUAAAGCGUGUGUAGGCGGUUCGGAAAGAAAGAUGUGAAAUCCCAGGGCGCGACCUUGGAACUGCAUUUUUAACUGCCGAGCUAGGGUAGGUCAGAGGGGGGUAGAGUUCCACGUGUAGCAGUGAAAUGCGUAGAUAUGUGGAGGAAUACCAAUGGCGAAGGCAGCCCCCUGGGAUAAUACUGACGCUCAGACACGAAAGCGUGGGGAGCAAACAGG